ACCGGGUUAGCUCAAUUGGCAGAGCGGCGGCCUCCAAAGCCGAAGGUUUGCGGUUCGACUCCGUAACUCGGUG
RNAcentral lists this transfer RNA (73 nucleotides) under Methylibium petroleiphilum PM1. It matches the Rfam family "tRNA". Rfam says of the family: Transfer RNA (tRNA) molecules are approximately 80 nucleotides in length. Their secondary structure includes four short double-helical elements and three loops (D, anti-codon, and T loops). The record is from Rfam by way of RNAcentral. Lineage: Bacteria; Pseudomonadati; Pseudomonadota; Betaproteobacteria; Burkholderiales; Sphaerotilaceae.